Molecule: transfer RNA, 72 nt
Filed under: Albula goreensis
Lineage: Eukaryota; Metazoa; Chordata; Actinopteri; Albuliformes; Albulidae
Description: tRNA-Pro
Rfam family: tRNA
About the family: Transfer RNA (tRNA) molecules are approximately 80 nucleotides in length. Their secondary structure includes four short double-helical elements and three loops (D, anti-codon, and T loops).
Source: RNAcentral
GGCUCGUUGGUCUAGGGAUAUGAUUCUCACUUAGGGUGCGAGGGGUCCUGGGUUCAACUCCCAGAUGAGCCC